Long non-coding RNA from Gorilla gorilla gorilla (western lowland gorilla), 7125 nucleotides. RefSeq lists it as uncharacterized. The record is from RefSeq and is a predicted model, not a curated record. The transcript has 3 exons. NCBI's taxonomy places the organism in Eukaryota, Metazoa, Chordata, Mammalia, Primates, Hominidae.
CUGGGAGAGGUUAAGUGGCGUGUGCAAGGCACAUACCCACUACUUGUAGCUAUGUAGGUUUGAGAGAGCAGCAUGACUCUCAUGACUUAUGAGACCCCAGUGACUGCAGGACCUCUACCCUAAUCACAGUCUAGCACUUAGGAAGGCAUCACAGUUCAUGGGUGUCGUAGUGACAGCAUGGAACCAUUUUCGGAGUCCUGCCCCACUGUUGCCUCACACAGGGUGUCACAGAGGGACCUGGCUGUGACGUUCCAGCAUCCCAGAGUCUCAAUGAUAAUGAUGGGGAUUAAUGGUGAUCCUGAUUUUUUCUCUAGCGCUUUACAGCUAAGUGUUAGUCUAUGAAUGUAAUAUAACAGUGGUUUAAAAUCAACAGAUUGUAACAAAAGUCCCUCACAGGAGACAAAGCUGGUGCCAUGAUCUCUAUUGCAUUAAUGAGACAAAUGAGGAUAGGAAACAUCAUGUAGCUUCCCAGGGCUCCAUGGCAGGGGCGUGGCAGGGGGGAUUUGAGUCCAGGCUCCUACUCCAGUGCUGACCUUUCCCGUCACUUUCCUGCUGCCCAGUGUGAGCUCUGUCCUGUCCAGAGUCAUGAAGUAUUAGAGCACAUGGAUGUCUUAUAGAUGAUCUUGUCCAAGUCAUUAAUUUUAGAAGAGCUGAUGGAACUUCAGAGAGGUUAAAUUCACCUGUUGCAGGUCACCUAUCUCCUUAGUGACAAGUUUGAGAUUACAGCCCAACUUCAAGUCACACUGACUCUUGUGAUUAUAAGUGAAAUCAUACUUGGCCACUCAUUCCUGAGCAAGAUGCCUGUUUCUGAAAUUAGUCUCUAGAGUGCCAACUUUUCAAGAGAAAAGAUGGUACCUUAUUUACCUUCAAGAGCAAAGCCUUUCCCAUGUUUCAUAAGUGUUUCUUGGCAGCCUAACUGACUCAGUGACUGAUUAAAGGAAAGACUGAAGGACAUGAAAGGCAUCGACUUGCUCCCUCCUAACAAAUAUUUCUUAAGGACCUACUAUGCUAAACGCUCACAGCACUGAGGAUUCUGUGUUGAACACAACCGACAAAAUCAGCAGCCUUACUGAGCUUCUAUUCAAGUGGUGGAGACAAUAAUAAUGAUAUGUAAGUGUUGUAAUUAACAUAUUAUGAAGAAAAAACAAAAAAUGUAGAGAAGCUGGAGACUGAAAGGGGGUGCUAUUUGGGAUACAAUGAACAGAAAAGGUGUCUCAGGUGGUGUGGGCUGCUCUGACAGAAUAUCAUAGACUGGUGGCUUAAACCGCAGACAUAUUUCUCAGAGUUCUGGAGGCUGGAAGUCCGAGAUCAGGGUGCUAGCAUGGUUGGAUUCUAAAAAGGACCAUUUUGCAGUCUGCAGACAACCUUUUUCUGGUUGUAUCCCCACCUGGCAGAAAGAGAGUGAGAAAUCUCUCUGUGGUCCCUUUUAUAAGGUCACUAAUCCCAUUUACCAGAGCUCUCCUCUCAUGACCUAAUUACCUCCUAAAAGCCCCAUCUCCCAAUACCAUCAAAUUGGGGGUUGGGACUUCAACAUACGAAAUUUGGGGGGACACAGACAUUCAGUUCGUUGCAAAAGAGCUCUCUGUAGAAGUGGUGUUGAAGCAGGGACAUUCAGAGAUCUGGGAGAAAGAAUGUUCUAGGCAGAAGGAAAAGGACGGGAAUGAGUCCUGAAGCAGGAGCCUGUGGAAAUGUCUGUGGAUCGGUGGGGAGGUGGGCGGAGCUGGAAUGCAGUGAGCUACAGGGAGAGGUUUAGGGAAUGGGGUCCACAGGUAGCCAGCUCCUCUGCAGCCUUAUGCCUGGGAGAGAGUCUGGAUAUGCUUUGGGGUAUGAUUUGCUGUGAGCAAUUCACCUGGUUUAUGAUGUAAACUGUGGAAGGAAAAGACAAUACAGGCCAAGAGUGGAAGCAGUGAGACCUUUUACAGGCCUCCUUGAUUAUUCAAAUUUAGUUAAUGUCUCAAUAUACAAAAAAUACUUAGUGGCUAAUUACGUAAAGACCAUCACAUAAUUAAAAGGAAGGAGCAAAUAACCUCUGGCCCUUGGUUUUUUUAUGCAAAUGGCAGAAAUUAGCUACAUUCAUUCAACCAUGAAAAACAUUUAUUGAGUGAACAUCAUAUGUCAGACACUCUGCUAUGCUCUGCGCUGAGAAAAAAGAUGAAAAAGACCCUAAUUUUAACUAACACUCAAGGAGCUUAGGACAAGUAUGGUAGUAGAAGAAUGAAGAACAGGCCGGGUGUGGUGGCUCACACCUGUAAUCCCAGCACUUUGGGAGCCUGAGGCAGGUGGAUCACCUAAGGUCAGGAGUUUGAGACCAGCCUGACCAACAUGGCGAAACCCGUUCUCUACUAAAAAAAAAAAAAAUACAAAAUCAGUCGGGCAUGGUGGCGCAUGCCUGUAAUCCCAGCUACUUGGGAGGCUGAGGCAGGAGAAUCACUUGAACCUGGGAGGUGGGGAUUGCAGUGAGCCGAGAUUACACCAUUGCACUCCAGCCUGGACAACAAAGAGCAAAACUUCGCCUCAAAACAAAACAAAACAAGAAAACAAGAAUGAAGAUGUAGGGAGAGAUCAGAGGGUGGAGUGGCUUGUCACAGAGGAGGUCUCUGAAUUGAGCCUUAAAGGAGAGAAAUUACACUGGAGGGAGAAGGAAGUACAGAGCACAGGCAAAGAAACAGAUGCACGGAGCAGCAUAAGGAAUUAUUUGAUGUUGCUGGGACCUGAGGUGCAAGAAAAAGAGCCAGUGAAGAGAAGACUAGCAAGGGGGGGUCAGAGCCAGAUGAGGAGCUUGCAAACCUCAUCCCUUGGUGCUCUAUCGGAUAGUCUGCAAAUUAUUUUCUGACUCCAGGAUGACAAAAAUAUGUGAAUCCAUUUUCUUUUCUCUCUCAUGAGCAUCACAAGCCCCUGUUUAUUUUUAUAUCCAUUCUGUCUAAAUUACUUUGCUCUACAACUUUAUAGCAUAAUCAUGAGAGCCUCUUUUCUUGCAUGGAUGUUGCAAAGAGCAUGAAGUCCUCCAUGACCUUUAAAGAAGGCUUUUGUUGAAUUAGCAGAACCUACCAGAGCUCCUGGAAAUUCCAGGUUCCCAGUCUCUGGGGGUGUCUUCACUCCAAGCCUUGGUGCCCUUACUUGGAUUUGCAAGUUUGGAGUUAAAGUAAGUGUCAGAAGUACAUGUGGUGAUUACAGACACUUUGUAGCCAAUAAUUUCCAUAGUGGAACUGAUAUCACUUCUUGACCUAUUUUUUCAGAGGACUUUUGCACAAUAGUUACUUUAGAAGCACCCUCUUGAAAAGAAAUCUGAAAUGGACGUCAAAGGCUAUAUUUAUUUGUUCAUAGCAUUUCUUGAUGACCUGCUUUAUGCAAGAUUUCAAAGAGCUCACAACUACUAAUGACUACUUAAAACUCUUAAUAUCCAAAAUAUAUAAGGAACUCAUACAAAUCAAUACCAAAAAUACAAACAACUGGAUUAAAAAAUGGGCAAGGGGCCAAAAUAGAUACUUCUUAAAAAAGGAAAUUCAGAACGCCAAUAAACAUGAAAAGGUGCUCCACAUCUGUAAUUAUCAGGUAAAUGCAGGUCAAAACCAUAAUGAGAUAUCACUUCAUACCUUUUAGGGUGACUAUUGUAAAAAAGAUAAAAGAUAGCAAAUGUCGGCAAAGAUGUGGAGAAAGUAGAACCCUUGUUCACUGUUGUUAGGAAUAUAACUUUAUACAACCAUUAUGGAAAAAGUAGGAAGGUUCCCCCAAAAUUCAAAAUGGAACAUAUGAUCAAGCAGUCCUACAGGAUUGUAAAGAGUUCUCUGCAUUCCCAUGUUCACUGCAGCAUUUUGCACGAUAGUCAACAUAUGGAAACAACCUAAAUGUUCUGCAGUGAACAGAUAAAGAAAAUGUGAUUUUGGCCAGGCGCGGUGGCUCAUGCCUGUAAUCCCAGCACUUUGGGAGGCUGAUGGGGGUGGAUCACUUGAGGUUAGGAGUUCAAGACCAGCCUGGCCAAUAUGGUGAAACCGUGUCUCUACUAAAAAUACAAAAAUUAGCCAGGCAUGGUGGCAGGCACCUGUAAUCCCAGCUGCGCAGGAGGCUGAGGCAGGAGAAUCACUGGAACCCGGGAGGUGGAGGUUGCAGUGAGCCGAGAUUGCAUCAUUGCUCUACAGCCUGCGUGACAAAGCCAGAUUCUGUCUCAAAAAAAAAAAAAAAAAGAAAGAAAGAAAGUGAUUUUAUACAAUCACACACACACACACACAAUGGAAUAUUAUUCAGGUUUAAAAAAGAAGAAAAUCCUGUCAUUUGUGACAACAUGGAUGAAGCUGGAGGAAGUUAUGCUAAGCAAAAUAGUACGCAAGACACAGAAAGAGAAAUACUGCAUGAUCUCCCUUUUAUGUAGACUCUAAAAUAGUCAAACUAUAGAAGUAGAAAGUAGGAUGGUGGUUGCCUGGAGCGGGGAAGAGGGGAAAAUGGAGUGAUUUUGGUCAAAGGGUGCCAAAAUGGUAAUUAUAUACAGGGAAUAGAUAUGUUAAUUAGUUGGAAUGUGAUAGUCAUUUCACAAUGUACAUGAAGACAUCCCGUUGUACACCUUAAAUAUAUACAAUUUUUUAUAUGUCAUAAAAACUAAAUUGUCACAAAAUAAAGAAUUUAAAAGACAAAAAAAAAUCCUGUAGUUCCAUGACUUUAGUAUAUUUACAGAAUGAUUUUAGGGGUACAUAGUUUAAAAGGUUUCACAAAAUUUCAUUAAAAAUUUUUGAGUUAUUUGAUUAUGUAUAAGUUCAACCUCUCAUGGAAAGCUGAAUUUAUUUAACAUACUGACUAGAGGCAAGAAAAUAAGAAGCCAGAAGAAAAGUAUUAAUUCAUGGUGCAGAACUUGAGAAUAUGCAUUGAACAGCUGCACCGUAACACUUAGCCUUUUUGUUCACAUGAAGUUGCUCUCUGGAAUCCUCAGAUAUCUGCAGUUGCCUGAGGGUUCUUCAAAUGUCACCAGGGCAACAAUAAAGUAACACACAUGAAGCAGGCCCUCUGUGGCAUUCUUCAUGAAAACCAUUGAAUUAAAUUAUUGCAUAACAAAUCAUCUGCAUAUGAAAGGCAGUGAACUGUUAGAGAACCCAGCUGAAAACAAUGCUGAAUUUGAUGCCUACCUCCACUGAUAACUCACUGGCACCCUUAGAACUCUUGUUGUGACUCAAGGGCCCCUAUUUGGCAUGUGGGAAAUAUUAAUACUGUAUUUAUAAGACCACAAAGGAAUUAUGAGCUAAAUUAGAGAGAUAGUUGUGCUGCUUAGAGAAAAACUUCCAUGUAUCCCAUGACCCCAUCCCUCUUACCCUUUCUUGGUCAAUCUUUCAAAAAGAAAAAUGCAUUUCCUGCACUCUGGUUGAAAUGGUUGCUUGCCAUCAUGGAGAUUCUAGAAAAACUGACAAUAGUUAGCAGUGAUGGAGUCCUUGCUAUGUUUUAGCACAGAGACUGUGCUAAGCACUUCUCAUGCAUUAUUUUAUUUCAUUCUAGUGGCCCAUAGGGUUAGUACUAUUAACAUACCCAUUUUAUAAUGAGGACAUUUUGACUCUAAAAUGUUAGCUGAUUCUUGGCCUGGAUUCUCAAAGCUAAAGAGAACUGUGAAGUAAACAUUAAGAACCACACGAUCUGUUUCCAGAGCCCUCAAACCUCUGAACAUAUUGGUUUAGAAUAAACUACUUCAUAUCACAGCCUCUAUCACCAUUAUACCUGGAUCCUGCUUAAUCUAGAAGCCAUAGAUGGAAAUUGUUAUCGUUGGAAAAACAAUUUUCACACUCAAGUAUAUUAAUUCAAGAACCCUAUGGAGAGACAGUAUACAAAAAACAAAUGUCAUACGAUGUUUUAGGUAUGAUUAAGCCAAAAUAAGACAGACUUUAAAAAUAUACACAGACUGAAAUAUUUACAGUCAUAUGAUACUAGUGGCCUGCCACCUUAUCGCAGCAACACUUGAAGCUCUUCUUGGGAAUUGUCAACUUUUGAACCGCACAGGAAAACAAGUCUCUUCUUUGUUCAGGUUUCAGUUUUGGAUUCCUGAAGAUCAAUCACCUUCUUUUCAUCAGGUUUGACCAUGAAAAACUUAACUAUUUUAAAGAGCAAAUCCAUUUUCAAAGUGCAUAAAUGUAGCACCUUUACCAUGUAUUUGAAAGGACAAAUUUCACCCUCUUUUUAAAUUAUACUUAUUUACUUACAAUGAUAAAAAAUAAUAUUAAUUAUAAAAAUCACCAAAGGGACCAGCACAAUGGCUCAUGCCUGUAAUCCCAGUGCUAUCGGAGGCUGAACCCAGAGGAUCCCUUGAGGCCAGGAGUUCAAGACCAACCUGGGCAACAUAGCAAGACCCCAUCUCUACAAAAAAUGUAAUAAAUUAGCCAGAUGUGGUGGCCCAUGCCUGCAGUCCCAGCUACUUGGGAAGCUGAGGCAGAAGGAUCGCUUGACCCCAGGAGUUUGAGGCUGCAGUGAGCUAUGAUUGUGCCACUGCACUCCAGCCUGGGUGACAGUGAGUCCCUGUCUCUAAAAAUUAAAAAAAAAAAGUAAAUAUAAAUGCAAAAUAAAAAUUACCAAAUAUAAUAAUCACAUACGUCUAAAGUGUACUCAAAAUAGCAUUUGGAAAAUAUUUCAAGCUGGCCAGCAUUUAAAAAAUGAAUAACGUCUCUCAAGAGAACUUAUUUAAUGGAGACAGAAGAUAUGUAGGUAUUACAUGUAUAUUUUAAAUGGUAAUAUUGGUUUAUCAUCACAUUUCUAGUGUGGUAUUCUAAGAUUGAAGCACUAAUUGUGGAUAAAUGUACAACUAUUUCUUAGGUGCACCAUUUUUUUCAAGGGAAAUUAAAAUACAGCUUUUUGACUGCUAACCAUGUGCCAGGCACACUUGUGAUUGAAAUUAAUACAUAAAACAGUCCUAGAAGGUCAGAAUUAUGCUCAGUUUUUAUAGCAUACAACCACAGUUCACGCAGGCUUAGGAACUUGAACAAAGUCACAUGGCUCAGGCAUGUGACCGUGAAGUGUCCAAGAUGGAAGAACAGCAUGGUUUUUGCUGCUUAAAGGGGGAUAAACAUCUACAACAAAUUAUAAGAGCACCACUUCAGCGUGAAUGGAUUACUAGAACUGAGGUGAGAUAUAUUCUUAACCUAAUACAUAAGAUAACCUAUG